This 679-nucleotide ribosomal RNA is filed under the name uncultured Mrakia. Its description in RNAcentral is "eukaryotic LSU rRNA". The stretch from base 230 to 383 matches the Rfam family "5.8S ribosomal RNA". Lineage: Eukaryota; Fungi; Basidiomycota; Tremellomycetes; Cystofilobasidiales; Cystofilobasidiaceae. The record is from RNAcentral.
CUUGGUCAUUUAGAGGAAGUAAAAGUCGUAACAAGGUUUCCGUAGGUGAACCUGCGGAAGGAUCACUAGUGAUUAAAUCGAGAGUGUCUUCAUUGACCUCUCACCCUUCACAUCCACAUACACCUGUGCACCGUUUGGCUCUUUUAAAAGACGCAAGUCUGCAAAGAGAGUCAUCAAUUUUAUACAUACCCCAGUCUUAUGAAUGUAACAGUUUUAAUAAACAUAAUAAAACUUUUAACAACGGAUCUCUUGGUUCUCGCAUCGAUGAAGAACGCAGCGAAAUGCGAUAAGUAAUGUGAAUUGCAGAAUUCAGUGAAUCAUCGAAUCUUUGAACGCACCUUGCGCUCCUUGGUAUUCCGAGGAGCAUGCCUGUUUGAGUGUCAUGAAACUCUCAACCUUCAACUUUUUUAUUAAGGCUGAAGGCUUGGACUUGAGCGCUGCUGGUUUUCACUAACCGGCUCGCUUGAAAUGAAUUAGCAGAUCCUUUUUGUAAUCGGUUCCACUCGACGUGAUAAGUAUUUCGCCGAGGACGUACGAAAGUAUGGCCGAGAUAAGAGAAGUCUUUUAGAUCCGCUUCUAAUUCUUAGAUCAAGCUUGCUUGACUAAACCCCAUUUUAUGAUCUGGCCUCAAAUCAGGUAGGACUACCCGCUGAACUUAAGCAUAUCAAUAAGCGGAGGA